Long non-coding RNA from Cynoglossus semilaevis (tongue sole), 773 nucleotides. RefSeq lists it as uncharacterized. The transcript is spliced from 4 exons. The record is from RefSeq and is a predicted model, not a curated record. Lineage: Eukaryota; Metazoa; Chordata; Actinopteri; Pleuronectiformes; Cynoglossidae.
GUUCCAGAGGAGGAUCUUGAGCGACCUCACAGAGGGAGAGGUUUGUUUCGGACACAGAGACGGUUUCUAGAAGACGCCUGUUUGAGUCCAAACCCUUUUGUCACAACAAGCAGUUUGUUGCUGUGACACUGGCAGAAAAGAAGCGUGUAAUCAAGCCAAAAACCAUCUUUCAUUUGACCUGAACCUGAAGUCUGAACAGAUGGAGACACUUCUCUGAGACUGGGAGUCUCUGGGUCUUAUCUGGGGUCUGGUCCUGGUCCAGUCCAUCUGUGACUGCGAGGAUUAAAGCGGCUGCAGACAGAUUUGAGCGAUGGAGAGUGACAGUGAUGGACGACCAGUUGGUGAUGGAGGCAGAGUGUGAUGCUAAGUCUAAGAAGUCUGGAAUUACUGACAUAACGACCCAGGAGAAAUUGAGAAGAAGAAGAAAAGGUUGGAAAUAUAAUGAAAAGUUAAUGUGGGAAAACUGUCGUCAGAAUGUUUUUUUUUACAAAGAAAUACUAGGUAAAUCAAAGUUAGCCAGAGCUAGCAAAAAUGGCUAACAUUUCAUUAAACCGUCCCAGAAACACGUUUUUCCUGAUGGAAAAAAAAUUAAUUCCCUGAUCAAUCCAACAGCUCUGCUGCAGGAGAUCUGUUUAGUUGUUCUUCUCAUCUGCUGAAAUGUCAAACAUCAUCAGUCUCUGCCUUGUUAGCUUUUCAGAAAGAAACAAAAACAAAAAAAAAGAAAAAUCAUGUUGUUUUUUUCUAUCUAAAUCAGAGGAAUGAGCUGCUCUUCA